Molecule: small nuclear RNA, 107 nt
Filed under: Sorex araneus (European shrew)
Lineage: Eukaryota; Metazoa; Chordata; Mammalia; Eulipotyphla; Soricidae
Source: RNAcentral
AUGCUUGCUUCGGCAGCACAUAUAUUAAAUUGGAAUGAUACAGAGGAGGAUUAGCAUGGCCCCUAUGUAAGGAUGACACUCAAAUUCAUGAAGCGUUCCAUAUUUUU